RNAcentral lists this ribosomal RNA (835 nucleotides) under uncultured bacterium. Its description in RNAcentral is "bacterial SSU rRNA". It matches the Rfam family "Bacterial small subunit ribosomal RNA", at positions 15 to 859 of the family's 1533-position model. The record is from RNAcentral.
GAUCCUGGCUCAGGACGAACGCUAGCGGCGUGCCUAAGAAAUGCAAGUCGAGCGAGGAUUAGGAGCUUGCUCCGAAGUCCUAGCGGCGAACGGUCGCGUAACACGUAAGCAACCUGCCCCAGAGUGGGGGAUAGCCCGCCGAAAGGCGGAUUAAUACCGCAUGUGGACAUAACUUCGCAUGUUGUUAUGUCUGAAGCAGCAAUGCGCUCUGGGAUGGGCUUGCGGCCUAUCAGCUAGUUGGUGUGGGUAACGGCUCACCAAGGCGACGACGGGUAGCUGGUCUGAGAGGAUGGUCAGCCGGAUCGGGACUGAGACACGGCCCGGACUCCUACGGGGGGCAGCAAUUGGGAAUCUUGCGCAAUGGGCGAAAGCCUGACGCAGCGACGCCGCGUGACUGAUGACGUCCUUCGGGAUGUAAAGGUCUUUUUUGGGGGAAGAAGGAUGUGACGGUACCCCAAGAAUAAGCCCCGGCUAACUACGUGCCAGCAGCCGCGGUAAUACGUAGGGGGCGAGCGUUGUCCGAAUUCACUGGGCGUAAAGCGCGCGUAGGCGGGUUUUUAAGUUGGUGGUGAAAUUCCGAGGCUCAACCUCGGAACUGCCUCCAAAACUGGGAACCUGGAGGUAUGGAGAGGGAAGUGGAAUUCCUGGUGUAGCGGUGAAAUGCGUAGAUAUCAGGAGGAACACCUGUGGCGAAGGCGGCUUCCUGGCCAUAUCCUGACGCUGAGGUGCGAAAGCUAGGGGAGCAAACGGGAUUAGAUACCCCGGUAGUCCUAGCCGUAAACGAUGGAUACUAGGUGUUAGAGGUAUCGACCCCUCUAGUGCCGAAGCUAACGCA